GCCACCGUAGCUCAGCUGGUAGAGCGCCUCACUUGUAAUGAGGAUGUCACGGGUUCGACUCCUGUCGGUGGCU
This 73-nucleotide transfer RNA is filed under the name Fidelibacterota bacterium. RNAcentral's name for it is "tRNA-Thr". It matches the Rfam family "tRNA". Rfam says of the family: Transfer RNA (tRNA) molecules are approximately 80 nucleotides in length. Their secondary structure includes four short double-helical elements and three loops (D, anti-codon, and T loops). Lineage: Bacteria; Pseudomonadati; Fidelibacterota. The record is from RNAcentral.